GUGAUGGGAGGUAUUUCUGCUGACUUCAGUGGAAAGAGAACUGUAGAUUAGCCAUGGAUUAGACACCAGUUAUAGCUGCAGUCAGUUCUGCUGAAGCGUUUCAUCUCUUUCCAUAGAAUCACUUGCUCAUUACAAUUAUUUGUUUAAUGCAGUGCUCCUGGAAGUGAGGUCCUGUCCUGAGGUAUCUGAAAGAAAUAGCUGAGAACGAUCAAUAUCUGUUCUCUGGCUCUGACAGGCAGGUAUUCUCCAGCUCCUGGGGUGCUUGACAGUAUACUAAGGCUUCUCUUUUAACUGACUUUUUUUUUCUUCCACCUUCUGUCCAGGCAUCAGAGGGGCAGUGGCAGGUGGUUGCAGACUCUACAUGGUGCAAGAUAGAGCGUUCACUGGAAAGCUGUGAAGUGACAGCAUGAGACUGCAGAUGAAAUGGCAACUUCACUCCUCAGACUAAAUGUACGUUGGAACACCCAAGUAGGAGACUAGUUUGGCAUGGGAGGAAGAAAAGCUGGCUUUAGAAGAGUUCAGACAGGAAGCAGCAAUAUUCCAGGAAGAUUUCCGAGUCAAACAGGAGAGGAACUGGCUUCUCGAAGAGCGUAUUGCAGAGAUUCCCUAAAACAUUCAGCUGCACAGCUGGAGCAGGCUCGUGGUUACCUCUGGGGUUGUGUAUAUUGAGCUGAGAUGACUGAAGAACCGAAGAGGCUCAUGAAGUCGAGGACGAUGGCUUGCGGCAAUGAUGGCAGCAAGGUGAUUGUAAUACAGGUUGUGUAAUGUUUGCUCACCCUUCGUACAUCGUUCUGUUUUCUUGUACAUGUCUAUGGAGUUGAUGAAGGGAAAUGAAGGGUGCUUUCCAUUGUCUCGAGACUCAGCAUGAGUAACACCCCCCCCCCCGUUAAUCACGGUUCCCUGGAGAAACUGAGCUGCUUAAGGUCCAAACCACCACCAGAUGGCAGCUGAAGUUCAAAUAUGAGAUGGGCCCAAAGUCUCAGCAGGGGACUGCUAGAGAGGGGAACUUUGUGGUCCUGGAAUUGGGAAGAUUAAAAAAAAAAAAGACAGCUAUGGUUACUGAGUAAUUGGCAUAGUGAAGGCAGCGUUGGAAAGUCCCUAAGUGAUGGGUGAGUGGGGGAACUAACAUUUUAGUGCUGCAAGAGUUCCUUCAUUCUAUCAGGCAACUUUUGAGCAUACUUUCCUUUACAUUACAAGCAAUAGAUUACUGCUUUGUCCCAAGUGGCUGAAACACUGUGUGUGUGCCUCUUAUCCUGGUCACGCACCAGUGCUCAGAAAUGUUGACUUAAAAUGCUUUGUUUAGUCAAGAUAACAUUCAGAGCAGACAUUUCCAGUUCACUUUUACUGAAAUAGAUGCUGAGGUGACUUCCAGAAGAAACCGCAAGACUGAAUACUUGCGUGCUUGUUUGGUUUUGCUUCGUUUUUCUAUCUCCCCACCCCAGUCCCACCCCCACAGCUCCCCUGGAUACAGACAUUGUCCUAGCACAGCAUUACUUCCUCAGGUAGGCUUUCCUUUUGUGGCUGGAAAGUUCAACUCAAGUAACCCAAGUUGCUGGAAAUCUGCCUGUUACAGCUGGAGAAUGAGUGCGUAAGGCUGUUAAAGUCUCAUAAAUCAGCUCCAUAAAGUGGUUACAGGGCAAAAAUUGUGUCUUAGGUGAAACAAAGAAUG
Phasianus colchicus (ring-necked pheasant) is the source of this 1669-nucleotide long non-coding RNA. The record is from Ensembl. Lineage: Eukaryota; Metazoa; Chordata; Aves; Galliformes; Phasianidae.